RNAcentral lists this ribosomal RNA (253 nucleotides) under uncultured bacterium. RNAcentral describes it as "partial 16S ribosomal RNA". It matches the Rfam family "Bacterial small subunit ribosomal RNA", at positions 524 to 776 of the family's 1533-position model. The record is from RNAcentral.
UACGAAGGGGGCUAGCGUUGUUCGGAAUCACUGGGCGUAAAGCGCGUGUAGGCGGAUUGUUAAGUCGGGGGUGAAAUCCUGAGGCUCAACCUCAGAACUGCCUUCGAUACUGGCGAUCUUGAGUCCGGGAGAGGUGAGUGGAACUCCUAGUGUAGAGGUGAAAUUCGUAGAUAUUAGGAAGAACACCAGUGGCGAAGGCGGCUCACUGGCCCGGUACUGACGCUGAAACGCGAAAGCGUGGGGAGCAAACAGG